UGGGGAAUCUUGCGCAAUGGGCGAAAGCCUGACGCAGCAACGCCGCGUGGGGGAAGAAGGCCUUCGGGUUGUAAACCUCUGUCAGGAGGGACGAAGCCACCUGGGUUAAUAGCCUAAGGGGUGACGGUACCUCCAAAGGAAGCCCCGGCUAACUACGUGCCAGCAGCCGCGGUAAUACGUAGGGGGCGAGCGUUGUCCGGAUUUAUUGGGCGUAAAGAGCGUGUAGGCGGCCUGUCAAGUCCGAUGUGAAAUGUUACGGCUUAACCGUGAAUCUGCAUUGGAAACUGUCAGGCUAGAGUCUGGAUGAGGAGAAUAGAAUUCCUGGUGUAGCGGUGAAAUGCGCAGAUAUCAGGAGGAAUACCGGUGGCGAAGGCGGUUCUCUGGGACAGUACUGACGCUGAGACGCGAAAGCGUGGGGAGCAAACAGGAUUAGAUACCCUGGUAGUCCACGCCGUAAACGAUGAACACUAAGGUGUUGGGGGUGUUGGACUCCUCAGUGCCGUAGCUAACG
Molecule: ribosomal RNA, 511 nt
Filed under: uncultured bacterium
Lineage: Bacteria
Description: bacterial SSU rRNA
Rfam family: Bacterial small subunit ribosomal RNA
Source: RNAcentral